GACGAACGCUGGCGGCGUGCCUAAUACAUGCAAGUUGAGCGCUGAAGGGUGGUACUUGUACCAACUGGAUGAGCAGCGAACGGGUGAGUAACGCGUGGGUAAUCUGCCUUUGAGCGGGGGACAACAUUUGGAAACGAAUGCUAAUACCGCAUAAAAACUUUAAACACAAGUUUUAAGAUUGAAAGAUGCAAUUGCCUCACUCAAAGAUGAUCCCGCGUUGUAUUAGCUAGUUGGUGAGGUAAAGGCUCACCAAGGCGAUGAUACAUAGCCGACCUGGGAGGGUGGUCAGCCACAUUUGGACCGGGGAACGGCCCCAACCCCCACGGGGGGCAACAGGAGGGGAACUUCCGACAAGGAGCAAAGUCCGAACGAGCCAAGCCGGGUGGGGGGAGGAGGGUCUCCGAACGUAAAAACCUUUUUGUAAGGAAGAAAGUAGGUGGGAGUGAAAUGCUCACCAAGUGACGGUAACUACCCAGAAAGGGACGGCUAACUACGUG
RNAcentral lists this ribosomal RNA (497 nucleotides) under uncultured bacterium. Its description in RNAcentral is "partial 16S ribosomal RNA". It matches the Rfam family "Bacterial small subunit ribosomal RNA", at positions 28 to 507 of the family's 1533-position model. The record is from RNAcentral.